CCUACGGGAGGCAGCAGUGAGGAAUAUUGGUCAAUGGCCGGAAGGCUGAACCAGCCAAGUCGCGUGAGGGAAUAAGGCCCUAUGGGUCGUAAACCUCUUUUGUCAGGGAGCAAAGGCGUCCACGUGUGGACGAGAGGAGAGUACCUGAAGAAAAAGCAUCGGCUAACUCCGUGCCAGCAGCCGCGGUAAUACGGAGGAUGCGAGCGUUAUCCGGAUUUAUUGGGUUUAAAGGGUGCGUAGGCGGAGUGUCAAGUCAGCGGUAAAAUGUCCGGGCUCAACCCGGGCCGGCCGUUGAAACUGGGGAU
Molecule: ribosomal RNA, 305 nt
Filed under: uncultured bacterium
Lineage: Bacteria
Description: bacterial SSU rRNA
Rfam family: Bacterial small subunit ribosomal RNA
Source: RNAcentral